UAGUUCAGUGGUAGAACACAUGCUUAGCAUGCACAAGGUCCUGGGUUCAAUCCCCAG
Molecule: transfer RNA, 57 nt
Filed under: Camelus bactrianus (Bactrian camel)
Lineage: Eukaryota; Metazoa; Chordata; Mammalia; Artiodactyla; Camelidae
Also listed under: 2 other names
Rfam family: tRNA
About the family: Transfer RNA (tRNA) molecules are approximately 80 nucleotides in length. Their secondary structure includes four short double-helical elements and three loops (D, anti-codon, and T loops).
Source: Rfam by way of RNAcentral